This 492-nucleotide ribosomal RNA is filed under the name uncultured bacterium. RNAcentral describes it as "partial 16S ribosomal RNA". It matches the Rfam family "Bacterial small subunit ribosomal RNA", at positions 29 to 507 of the family's 1533-position model. The record is from RNAcentral.
AGUGAACGCUGGCGGUAGGCCUAACACAUGCAAGUCGAACGGUAGCACAGUAAGAGCUUGCUCUUACGGGUGGCGAGUGACGGACGGGUGAGGAAUACAUCGGAAUCUACUUUUUCGUGGGGGAUAACGUAGGGAAACUUACGCUAAUACCGCAUACGACCUACGGCUGAAAGCAGGGGAUCUUCGGACCUUGCGCGAUUGAAUGAGCCGAUGUCGGAUUAGCUAGUUGGCGGGGUAAAGGCCCACCAAGGCGACGAUCCGUAGCUGGUCUGAGAGGAUGAUCAGCCACACUGGAACUGAGACACGGUCCAGACUCCUACGGGAGGCAGCAGUGGGGAAUAUUGGACAAUGGGCGCAAGCCUGAUGCAGCCAUACCGCGUGGGUGAAGAAGGCCUUCGGGUUGUAAAGCUCUUUUGUUGGGAAAGAACAGCAGCAGGUUAAUACCUCGCUGUUCUGACGGUACCCAAAGAAUAAGCACCGGCUAACUUCGUG